Molecule: ribosomal RNA, 371 nt
Filed under: uncultured bacterium
Lineage: Bacteria
Description: bacterial SSU rRNA
Rfam family: Bacterial small subunit ribosomal RNA
Source: RNAcentral
GUAGGGUGCGAGCGUUAAUCGGAAUUACUGGGCGUAAAGCGUGCGCAGGCGGUUUCGUAAGACAGAUGUGAAAUCCCCGGGCUUAACCUGGGAACUGCAUUUGUGACUGCGAGACUAGAGUGCGGCAGAGGGGGGUAGAAUUCCACGUGUAGCAGUGAAAUGCGUAGAUAUGUGGAGGAAUACCGAUGGCGAAGGCAGCCCCCUGGGUCGACACUGACGCUCAUGCACGAAAGCGUGGGGAGCAAACAGGAUUAGAUACCCUGGUAGUCCACGCCCUAAACGAUGUCAACUAGGUGUUGGGGGAGGAGACUUCCUUAGUACCGCAGCUAACGCGUGAAGUUGACCGCCUGGGGAGUACGGCCGCAAGGUUG